This 177-nucleotide ribosomal RNA is filed under the name uncultured bacterium. RNAcentral describes it as "partial 16S ribosomal RNA". It matches the Rfam family "Bacterial small subunit ribosomal RNA", at positions 1316 to 1500 of the family's 1533-position model. The record is from RNAcentral.
CUCCAUGAAGCUGGAUUCGCUAGUAAUCGCGCAUCAGCCACGGCGCGGUGAAUACGUUCCCGGGCCUUGUACACACCGCCCGUCAAGCCAUGGGAGUCGGGAGUGCCUGAAGUGCGUGAGCGCGAGCAGCGCCCUAGGGCAAAACCGAUGACUGGGGCUAAGUCGUAACAAGGUACC